UGGUGGAGUGAUUUGUCUGGUUAAUUUCGUUAACGAACGAGACCGCUGCCUGCUAAAUAGCUACGCAAGUGAAUUUCACUUGUGAGAGUUUCUUAGAGGUACGUGCAUUUUAUUAGAUGCAGGAAGAUAGCGGCAAUAACA
RNAcentral lists this ribosomal RNA (141 nucleotides) under uncultured eukaryote. Its description in RNAcentral is "partial 18S ribosomal RNA". It matches the Rfam family "Eukaryotic small subunit ribosomal RNA", at positions 1299 to 1458 of the family's 1831-position model. The record is from RNAcentral.